UGGGAACUGGAAUCUCAGGAACUAGUGAA
RNAcentral lists this non-coding RNA (29 nucleotides) under Mus musculus (house mouse). The record is from RNAcentral. Lineage: Eukaryota; Metazoa; Chordata; Mammalia; Rodentia; Muridae.